UGCCAUUAUAAAUUUCACCUCUCCUGUGC
RNAcentral lists this non-coding RNA (29 nucleotides) under Mus musculus (house mouse). Lineage: Eukaryota; Metazoa; Chordata; Mammalia; Rodentia; Muridae. The record is from RNAcentral.